GAAAGCCGGAUGCAGGAAAACCGCACGUACGGUUUGAAGAAGCGGGGUUUGGGAAUCUAAU
This 61-nucleotide small RNA is filed under the name Orenia metallireducens. The record is from RNAcentral. Lineage: Bacteria; Bacillati; Bacillota; Clostridia; Halanaerobiales; Halobacteroidaceae.